Molecule: ribosomal RNA, 406 nt
Filed under: Psammodromus algirus
Lineage: Eukaryota; Metazoa; Chordata; Lepidosauria; Squamata; Lacertidae
Description: partial 16S ribosomal RNA
Rfam family: Bacterial large subunit ribosomal RNA
Source: RNAcentral
CCCCUAAAUAGGGACUGGAAUGAACGGCUACAUGAAGACUUUACUGUCUCUUGCCGCUAGUCAAUGAAACUGAUCUCCCAGUACAAAAGCUGGAAUAAUACCAUAAGACAAAAAGACCCUGUGGAGCUUUUAAACCAAGUACACCAAAAUGUUCUAUCACGGUUUUUAGUUGGGGCGACUUCGGAACAAAAUAAAACUUCCGAAACCAUGGAAUCACACCCAUAUCUAAGGCCAACACGCCAAGAUAAUCAUCUACUUGACCCAGUUUACCACAUACUGAUCAAUGAACCAAGUUACCCCAGGGAUAACAGCGCCAUCUUCUUCUAGAGUCCAUAUCGACAAGAAGGUUUACGACCUCGAUGUUGGAUCAGGACACCCAAAUAGUGCAGCCGCUAUUAAAGGUUCG